Molecule: transfer RNA, 74 nt
Filed under: Armatimonadota bacterium
Lineage: Bacteria; Bacillati; Armatimonadota
Description: Armatimonadetes bacterium (activated sludge metagenome) tRNA-Gln
Rfam family: tRNA
About the family: Transfer RNA (tRNA) molecules are approximately 80 nucleotides in length. Their secondary structure includes four short double-helical elements and three loops (D, anti-codon, and T loops).
Source: RNAcentral
UGCCCGAUCGUCUAAGGGCAGGACGCCUGGUUCUGGCCCAGGUAAUGGUGGUUCGAAUCCAUCUCGGGCAGCCA